This 72-nucleotide transfer RNA is filed under the name archaeon. Its description in RNAcentral is "tRNA-Arg". It matches the Rfam family "tRNA". Rfam says of the family: Transfer RNA (tRNA) molecules are approximately 80 nucleotides in length. The record is from RNAcentral.
GGGCCUAUAGUUUAAUGGAUAAAACUACCGGCUUCGGACCGGUUGUUGGGGGUUCGAGUCCUCCUAGGCCCA